RNAcentral lists this ribosomal RNA (480 nucleotides) under uncultured bacterium. Its description in RNAcentral is "partial 16S ribosomal RNA". It matches the Rfam family "Bacterial small subunit ribosomal RNA", at positions 28 to 523 of the family's 1533-position model. The record is from RNAcentral.
GACGAACGCUGGCGGCGUGCUUAACACAUGCAAGUCGAGCGAUGAAACACCUUCGGGUGCGGAUUAGCGGCGAACGGGUGAGGAACACGUGAGGAAUCUGCCUUCCACUCUGGGAUAACUCCGGGAAACCGGGGCUAAUACCGGAUACUUUCAACUGGCGGCAUCGCCGGUUGAAUAAAGUUUUUCGGUGGAAGAUGACCUCGCGGCCUAUCAGCUUGUUGGUGAGGUAAGGGCUAUGCAAGGCGACGAAGGGUAGCCGGCCUGAGAGGGCGACCGGCCACACUGGGACUGAGACACGGCCCAGACUCCUACGGGAGGCAGCAGUGGGGAAUAUUGGGCAAUGGAGGAAACUCUGACCCAGCGACGCCGCGUGAGGGAUGAAGGCAUUCGGGUUGUAAACCUCUUUCAGCAGGGAAUAAGCGAAAGUGAAGGUACCUGCAGAAGAAGCACCGGCUAACUAUGUGCCAGCAGCCGCCGUAA